UUUCUAGUAGCAGUUCAUAGUAAAACUUAAUUUAUUGUCAAACUUCCUAGAAAAGCCCGAACUACUAACAACUAAAAAUGACCUGUACCCGAAACCGACACAGGUAGGUGGGUAGAGUAUACCUAGGGGCGCGAGAUAACUCUCUCUAAGGAACUCGGCAAAAUGGCCCCGUAACUUCGGGAGAAGGGGUACCCUCAAUUAUAAUGAGGGUCGCAGUGACCAGGCCCAGGCGACUGUUUACCAAAAACACAGGUCUCCGCAAAGUCGUAAGACAACAUAUGGGGGCUGACGCCUGCCCAGUGCCGGAAGGUGAAGGAAGUUGGUUAUUCUUACGAAGGAGCUGACGACCGAAGCCCCGGUGAACGGCGGCCGUAACGAUAACGGUCCUAAGGUAGCGAAAUUCCUUGUCAGGUAAGUUCUGACCCGCACGAAAGGCGUAACGAUCUGGGCACUGUCUCGGAGAGAGACUCGGUGAAAUAGACAUGUCCGUGAAGAUGCGGACUUCCUACACCUGGACAGAAAGACCCUAUGAAGCUUGACUGUAGCCUGAAAUUGGGUUCGGGCUCUUUUUGCGCAGCCUAGGUGGGAGGCUAUGAAAAUCCCCUUCCGGGGGGGUUUGAGCCAUCAGUGAGAGACCACUCUGAAAGAGCUAGAAUUCUAAUAGCGCUCCUUGAAUCAGGACGCUUGACAGUUUCAGGUAGGCAGUUUGACUGGGGCGGUCGCCUCCUAAAAAGUAACGGAGGCGUGCAAAGGUUCCCUCAGGCUGGACGGAAAUCAGCCGAAGAGUGUAAAGGCAGAAGGGAGCUUGACUGCAAGGCCUACAAGUCGAGCAGGGGCGAAAGCCGGCCUUAGUGAUCCGACGGUAUUGAGUGGAAAAGCCGUCGCUCAACGGAUAAAAGUUACUCUAGGAUAACAGGCUGAUCUUCCCCAAGAGUUCACAUCGACGGAAAGGUUUGGCACCUCGAUGUCGGCUCAUCGCAACCUGGGGCGGUAGUACGUCCCAAGGGUUGGGCUGUUCACCCAUGAAACCGGUACGUGAGCUGGGUUCAGAACGUCGUGAGACAGUUCGGUCCAUAUCCGGUGUAGGCGGUAGAGCAUUGAGAGGAGCCUUCCAUUGUACGAGAGGACCUGGAAGGACGCACCACUAGUAUACCAGUUCUUGUGCCAACGGGAAACGCUGGGUAGCCAAGUGCGGAGCGGAUAACUGCUGAAAGCAUCUAAGUAGGAAGCCCACCUCAAGAUGAGUGCUCUCUUAAGGUCACGGCAAGACAAGCCGUUUGAUAGGUGUUAAGUAGAAGGUCAGUAAUGGUUGAAGCUGAAACAUCCUAAUAGACCGAUUGA
RNAcentral lists this ribosomal RNA (1341 nucleotides) under metagenome. RNAcentral's name for it is "bacterial LSU rRNA". It matches the Rfam family "Bacterial large subunit ribosomal RNA", at positions 1561 to 2925 of the family's 2925-position model. The record is from RNAcentral.